AUUGUAUUAGUUUAAUUAAAAUUUUAUUAUGUGAAAAUAAAGAUCUUAUGUGAUA
Molecule: transfer RNA, 55 nt
Filed under: Peregrinus maidis (corn hopper)
Lineage: Eukaryota; Metazoa; Arthropoda; Insecta; Hemiptera; Delphacidae
Description: tRNA-His
Source: RNAcentral